This 10739-nucleotide long non-coding RNA is filed under the name Homo sapiens (human). RNAcentral describes it as "non-protein coding lnc-CYB5R2-1:4". The record is from RNAcentral. Lineage: Eukaryota; Metazoa; Chordata; Mammalia; Primates; Hominidae.
AGGACAAAUACAGAAUGUGAGGUGCAGGGAGCUGAAGGCCCCUGGGAAGUGACCAACUCAGCAUUUCGCUGGAGGCUAUAGGAUCAAACAGCAAACUGUUUAUCAUGAAUGCAGGAUGUGGGCAAACUCACACUGCCCUGCCACCAAAAGGUUUGUUGAGGGCCUCACUCCCUGGCGCUGGGCUCCUUGAAGUUAUCUAUUGAGAAGUCUAGCACCUAAGAAUGCAGUCUUGCAAGCCUGCUGCGAAUCAAGCUGCUGGCCAACAACCACUCCCCACCUUCUCACUAUCUCUAUUGCCUAAUAAAUAUGGAGGGCAGUGUAAAGCUCAGGGCCCUUGUCCACUAGAGACAAGGUGCCCUCCGACCCCUUCUUCCAAAUAUACUCUUUUGCCUCUUGUCUUUUAUUCCCGUGUUUGCCCCCUUUGUUCAGUCCCCCUAGGUCCAUGCAGGUUACAUAGUGGUGCCCCAAACAGUGACACAAUUGGGUUCUCAACAAGUGGUGACUCAGAACAGGGACGCCAAGGAUGCCAACAAGUGGCGUCUGAACACGGGACUUCGACGAUGUGAACAAAAAAGAUCUGCUGGAGCAGAGAAGCUGAAAUUGACAAGGCAAACGGGGACCCCAGGAUGAGUCUGCCGGCAGCAUAUAUAAGGCAGGGACUAUAGGAAAUGAAGGUGAACUCGUGGAGAUUUUGGAGAGAAUUUAAUGAAGAGGCUGUUUACCAAGGAUCUCUCUCUGUCUCCGAGGCUGGAGUGCAAUGUUGCAAUCAGGGCUCACUGCAGCCUCGACCUCCUGGGCUCAACUGAUCUUCGUACCACAGCCUCAUGAGUAACUGGGACUACAGAUAGUAUCUCAUGAUAUGAAUGGUCCUGGAUUUACUUACACAUCCUCCUUUGGAUGAGCAAAAAGUAAAUUUUUCACAGUGAUAGACAUUUGUAGUGCUUUUUAAAGGCACUGGUUCUGGUGGACACUGAGAGACAAUUUUUAUUUGCUGCACGUGGAAAGGACAACAACAUACCUGGACAGAAAUGCCUCGAGGAUGUACUGAAGGCCCCUCUCACUUUUCACAGCCAUAACUGUAAGUUUCCUGGGGCCUCUCCAGAAGACAAGCAGAUGCCGCUAUGCUUCCUGAACAGCCCACAGAACUCUCCCAGUUGUGGGCAGAGUCUGGUUAAGGUACAGCCUUGGAAUUAUUUUAACAUUUUCAGUCGCAUUCUUGGAGGAAGCCAAGUGGAGAAGGGUUCCUAUCCCUGGCAGGUAUCUCUGAAACAAAGGCAGAAGCAUAUUUGUGGAGGAAGCAUCGUCUCACCACAGUGGGUGAUCACGGCGGCUCACUGCAUUGCAAACAGAAACAUUGUGUCUACUUUGAAUGUUACUGCUGGAGAGUAUGACUUAAGCCAGACAGACCCAGGAGAGCAAACUCUCACUAUUGAAACUGUCAUCAUACAUCCACAUUUCUCCACCAAGAAACCAAUGGACUAUGAUAUUGCCCUUUUGAAGAUGGCUGGAGCCUUCCAAUUUGGCCACUUUGUGGGGCCCAUAUGUCUUCCAGAGCUGCGGGAGCAAUUUGAGGCUGGUUUUAUUUGUACAACUGCAGGCUGGGGCCGCUUAACUGAAGGUGGCGUCCUCUCACAAGUCUUGCAGGAAGUGAAUCUGCCUAUUUUGACCUGGGAAGAGUGUGUGGCAGCUCUGUUAACACUAAAGAGGCCCAUCAGUGGGAAGACCUUUCUUUGCACAGGUUUUCCUGAUGGAGGGAGAGACGCAUGUCAGGGAGAUUCAGGAGGUUCACUCAUGUGCCGGAAUAAGAAAGGGGCCUGGACUCUGGCUGGUGUGACUUCCUGGGGUUUGGGCUGUGGUCGAGGCUGGAGAAACAAUGUGAGGAAAAGUGAUCAAGGAUCCCCUGGGAUCUUCACAGACAUUAGUAAAGUGCUUCCCUGGAUCCACGAACACAUCCAAACUGGUAACUAAGCCAUCACACAAGGUUAAGAAGCUGCCAUUCUGCUAGGGCCAGAGACAGCAUCAGCAGAGUCCUGGCAAAUCAGAGCACCUGAACCAACAGGCUCUACCUCUGUUCUCAGUGUAGCACACAAGGAUUGUGAGGUUUACCAAGUCUAAAUAAAACAAGAGUAAAAUAUGGUAUGUGGAGCAGCAUGCAGAUAUUCAAUGAAAAAUGAAUCCAUCCAUCCUAGACCUUCUCAAACUGGCCUUUAAUUGAAACUAUCUCAGUUGAUGAUAUGCUUUCACCACUUACUUCUCUGGAUUCAGAGUCCAGAGUGCUCACCAUUACACGAUGGCACCACUUACUUCUCAAAAAAAUCCAGCAAACUAUAACAGAUCAGUAGUUAUCAACCAGGGGCAAUUUUGUCCCCAGGGACAGUAUCAGAAGACAUUUUUAAUUGUCACAACUGGCAGAGCUGAGGAGUGGCUCUGGUGUCCAGUGGGUAGGGGACUUGGAUGCUGCUAAACAUCCUACAAAGUACAGGACAGCCUCCCACAACAAAGAAUGAUCCCACCCAAAAGGUUAAUAGUACCAACAAUGAGAAUCCCUGGCGUAGAUCCAGGUAUAGUAAGUCUGCAAAAGCCAGGAUCUACAUGCAGCCAGGCCUCCGUAUCUGCAAGUUCCAUGUCAGCAGAUUCAACCAACUGUGGAUCAAAAAUAUUUGGAGAAAAAUAAAAACAAUAAAAAUAACAGUACAAUAAUAAUGACAAUACAAAUUUUUAAAAAUACAGUGUAACAACUAUUUACAUAGCAUUUACUUUGUCUUAGGUAUCGCAAGCACUCCAGAGACAAUUUAGAGUGCUACAUAGGGGAAGACAUGCCUAGGUUACAUGCAAAUACUAUGCCGUUUAAUCUAAGGAUUUGAGCAUCCUCGGAUUUUUGGUAUCUGCAAGGGUUCUGAAACCAAUCCCCCACAGAUAUUGAGGGAUGAGUGUACACCCUUGUGAUAAACUGACUAGAGAGCUCAUUGCAACUUCUUUGCCUCCUCCAAAUCCAACUUAAUUGUUUUCUUAUCUGGUGGCUUCCAACCUCAAAAAGGCUUUUAUCCUUUUCUAAACAAGUUAAUUUAAAUUAAGUUUAGUAGGAAUUUGAGUUUGUUUUCAAGUGUAUGGUACAGUGGCAGGUAUCUGAGCCCUCAGUUAAAGUUUGACCUAUUUAACCCAGCAACUCUUUUAUAGUUAUGGACAAACUAUUUCCAUCUCUAGCCUCUGUUCUUAUGUAAAAUGACCCCUUCCUCUGUGAAACCUCCAGUUAAUUACCAUUUCAUAUUAGCCCACUUAAUAAAGAGAAUUAAAUCAUUUUAAAACACCAGAGGCCCUUUCCUACUUUAUCCAUUUAUCCCUUCCCUUCUUUCCACAGAUAAGAUUUUUAUUAGUUGCAUAUUGACUUAAAAAUCUCUUGUGCGCCAAGAAGAUGCUAACUUCUUGAAGCGUUGUUCAGGAUACCACAGGCUUUCAAUUGCAUCCUUCUUUUCCUUUCCCAGGUAAUCGGAGAAAGAGCUCCAGAGGUGGGUAUCCCUUGCAGGCUGCUCCAUCAGGAGCACAAAUUAACAUCUAGCAUUUCUGAAUAUCAGUUCCUGAAGUCUUCCUCUCCAAGAGCGCUCCCUGCUCAGUAGGUCUAAAACUACCACCUGGAGCACCUACAGCCAUUAUGCCCAGCAGAAGCCCCAGUUGCCCUCCCAUUUCAUUUCUUAGCAAUCCAGAGCUCUGUCCCAAUUCAGCCAACCUUUGCCAAACACUAGCUUGGAAUCAGAGACUCAAGGAAAGAGGGCAAGGCAGUGCCGAUGUGGUCAGUAAGCUACACACCUUGCCCUGAAAGUGUCCCUACUUAUAUAGGGUCUCAUCCCCUUUGUUCCAUUGCGAUCCUGCGAUGAAUUCACUCUGUGACUUUGGGCGAGCCUUUUCCUAACUCUGGCCCUCAUCCAUAAAGAAAAUAGUGUGGGCCAGAUGGUCUCUAAGACACUUUAGUUCAAAUCUUUAGUUGUUCUUUGAACCCGUGGAAAGAUCUACAAAGAGCAAUAUAGAAAAAUAGUACCCUGAGAGCUCAGAGGAAUGAGAGGCUGCUUCUAGCUGAAAACAAAUAAACUCACAGGGGAGCUCUGAUGCACAGACAUCUUUGAAGCUGCAACUGGAAGGAGGAGUAGGAUUUUGUCAAGUGGAAAUGGAAUAUGGGUAAAGAAAAAUAUUCCAGCUCAAGGAAUCAUCCUUAUUAAAGGAAAGGUCUUAAGGAUGAAGACAGCAACAAAAGCACAGGGCAUGUGAUGAGGAUUUAUAAGGGAGAAGAAUAGAAACAUAACUUGAGAUCAAACUAUGGAAACUUUAAAUGCUAGCCAAAAAAGUUUGGAUACGAUUGAGUAAUAGAAAGCUGAUUAAUUAGAUAAGUAGGUUUGAACUAUAUUUUAAUAGUGUAAGAACAGCAUGUAGGGGAUGGGUUGCGAGGGGACAAAUGCAUGGACGUAUGAAAUUCUUCAUUAGUUUGAGAGACAAGAAAUGAAGGUUUGAACCAAGGCAAUAUCCACAGAAUGAAAAGGAAGGAAUAGAAACGAGAAAUGAGGAUUGGGAGCCAAUUAGAUGAAAGGUUGUAACGAAGAAGGAGGAAGAGAAGAUAGUACCAAAGUUUUGAGCAUGAGAGACUAAGAGAAGGGCACACAAAAAUAAUAAAAUCAGAAGUGGGUGCAGUUUUGCUGACCCAAGGAAUUCUAUUUAUAGCAUAUUGAGUUCUGAGGGAGACAGCUAGGAAACCGUCAUAAAAAAUCAGGUCUGAAGUUCAGAAAUGUAGAGAUGACAUCUGAAAUGGAGGGUGUGAAUGAACCUGGUCCAAGGGAUCAUAGAGACAGAGCAGAUGAGGACGAAGGCUAGAAGCUGGGAAAUACCUGCACUUAUAGAAUAAAGUAUGAGGUCAGCAAAAGAAGAGUAAAGGGCCAGAGGUGGCUCACGCCUGUAAUCACAGCAAUUUGGGAGGCUCAGGUGGGAGGAUCGCUUGAGUCCAGGAGUUCAAGACCAAGCCUAGGCAACAAAGUGAGACUCUGUCUCACAAAUAAUUUCUUCAAAAAAUUAGCCGGGUGUGGCAGUGUGAGUCUGUGGUCUCAGCUGCCCGACAGGCUGAAGCAGGAGGAUUGCCUGAGCCCAGGAGGUUGAGGUUGCAGUAAGCUGUGAUCGUGCCACUGCACUCCACCCUCGGUGAGAGAUUGAGGCCCUGCCUCAAAGAUAAAAUAAAAUAAAAUAAAAAGAGAGAGAAGAGUUAAGGAAAGAAAACCAAUCAUAGAAUCUCAAGGUUAAGCAGGAUCUAAAAGGAACCAAAAAGGCAUCAUAGAAGCAAAGACAGGAGAAGAUUUCAUGAAGAACGAAGAGUACAUCAAGAAGAACCAGGAGGCUAUGGUGUUUGCAGCUUCUGGAGGGAGGGGCUGCUGUGGUUAACUGGCAUAACUAACCCUGACUCUCCUGGCUUUCCCUCCCAGCCUGGUGCAGUGAGCAGGAUGUCAUAGUCAGCGGGGCUGAGGGGAAGCUGCACUUCCCAGAAAGCCUCCACCUAUAUUAUGAGAGCAAGCAACGGUGUGUCUGGACCCUGCUGGUACCAGAGGAAAUGCAUGUGUUGCUCAGUUUUUCCCACCUAGAUGUUGAGUCUUGUCACCACAGUUACCUGUCAAUGUAUUCUUUAGAAGACAGACCCAUUGGAAAAUUUUGUGGAGAAAGCCUCCCUUCAUCCAUUCUUAUUGGCUCUAAUUCUCUAAGGCUGAAAUUCGUCUCUGAUGCCACAGAUAAUGCAGCUGGGUUUAAUCUUACCUAUAAAGCUCUUAAACCAAACUACAUUCCUGAUUCAGGUUGCAGUUACUUAACUGUCCUUUUUGAAGAAGGUCUCAUACAGAGUCUAAACUAUCCUGAAAACUACAGUGACAAGGCUAACUGUGACUGGAUUUUUCAAGCCUCCAAACAUCACCUAAUUAAGCUUUCAUUUCAGAGUCUGGAAAUAGAAGAAAGUGGAGACUGCACUUCCGACUAUGUGACAGUGCACAGCGAUGUAGAAAGGAAGAAGGAAAUAGGUUUGUGUCCUCUGAGCCUCAGCUCGCUCUGGUUUGUGUUUGGACCCAGUCUUGAGAUGGGAACGAAAAGGAGACAGAUCAAUCUUCCUCCAUCUUCCUGCACCACCUCCACCCCUCCCUGUGGUCUCACCAUCACUCCUUUGUCUUCUUCAUUAGGGGCAGGAAGAGAAAAAGGGAGAAUCAAAGAACCACUGAAACAGAAAUGCAAAAGGCCCAUGAGGAAACUAGGAGUCAGAAAGGGAAAGUUCCAUUGAAACAAGUCCUGAGGCUAGAACCAGUUCCCUUAACAUCAUUGUGUGUGGGAGUGUUCAGGAGAGAAAACCAAAUUGAAAUGUCAUGGGGUUAAUUAAGGAGUGAGCUGCCUUUAUUUAGAAAAUGAAUUGUGAAAAGCGUAUUUCUCAACAAUUACCUGAAGGAUGAUUUUCUUUUUUUCUUCUCUCCAAUGCCAUGGCUAUCUGCUGGGUGCUUGACAAUGUCAUGCCUGGGCUGGCCUUCAACAAGCUCGGCUGUGUGGCUAUGAUGUCCCCACCCCUGUGCUGAGCCCCUCCAGCAUCAUGCUCAUCAGCUUCCAAUCAGAUGAAAACGGGACCUGCAGGGGCUUUCAGGCUACAGUCUCCUUCAUUCCUAAAGCAGUAUACCCAGAUUUAAACAUCUCCAUAUCAGAGGAUGAAUCAAUGUUUCUGGAGACAUGAGAUGUGCCAAAUGGAGAAACCAAUGUUUCUGAGGUAAGAAUCAUCGUCAUCAUCAUACCCAUUUUAAAGAUGGAGAAACCAAGACCUGGAAAUGUUCAGUAAUAGUCCCCAGCCAGAUCAUUUGUAAACUGGUGGAGCAGGACUUCAUACCUCAGCAACCUUCUACCAGAGUUCGGCACAGUGCUGUGCUACCUCUCAGAUCCAGAGGGUGCAUGCACAGGUUUGUUCCAUGCAUAUUACUGCACGAUGCUGAGGUUUGGAGUACAAAUGAUCGCGUGACCCAGGAUAAUGGCCUCCAGCUGCACCCACAUUGCUGCAAAGAAUAUGAUUUUGGUUUCUUAUGGCUAUGUAGUAUUCCAUGGUGUAUCUGUACCACAUUUUCUUUUUCCAUUCCACCACUGAUGGGCACCUAAGUGGAUUCCAUGUCUUUGCUAUUCCGAACAGUGCUUUGAUGAACAUGUAAGUGCAUGUGUUUUUUUGGUAGAGUGAUUUAUUUGCCUUUGGGGAUAUAUCCAGUAAUGGGAUUGCUGGGUCAAAUUGUAGUUCUGUUUUCAGUUCUUUGAGAAAUCUCCAAACUGCUCUCCACAGUGGCUGAGCUAAUUUACAUUCCCACCAACAGAGUAUAAGCGUUCUCUUUUAUCCACAGCCUCACCAACAUCUGUUAUUUUUUGACUUUUUAAUAAUAGCCAUUCUGAUUGGUGCAAGACGGUAUCUCAUUGUGGUUUUUAUUUGCAUUCCUCUGAUGAUUAGUGAUGUGGAGCAUUUUUCCAUAUGGCAAACACUCAUUGACCAAUGACUUGGGCAGGACAUCAGUUCCCUCCAGAGGUACUCAGCAAUGAAGGAGGCCUCGUUCCUGCACAGGAAGAGCUGAAUCUUGUGGGGUGGAGUCUCACAGAUGUUCAAACAGUGACAACAGAGGUUCAUCUUGUUUUGUUUUUUUUUCCUCAGCAAACGCUUGUUGAGAGCCUACCCUUGCCAGGCCCUAUUAUCAAGCUGGGGAUUUACAGACAUGAGACUUGUGCUCAUGGUUUAUUUCAGGGGAUUAGUAGAAAAUGAGCCAAAAUCCAGGCAGCACAUGAGCAUGUGAGGGACACAUUUACAGUGUUUACGAGUUAGGAGAAGAGAGGCGAAUCACUGCCCUUUCAAGAUUACUGGGAGCCCAGAAAAAUGCCUUUUAUCCUGCUCCAAGAAUGAAUAAAGAGAAUGUGCUUGCUAUCUGCCUCUCUAAUAACACAGAGGGAACAGGCAGAGAAAAUGAGAGGGAAGAAUGAAGGGUAGAAACAAACUACUAAGAAAACCACAGGAAAAGGUGAGGUGCCUCCGGAUUUCAAAGCUACAAGUAAAAGCUUUUGACAGAGUCCAAGGGGGAAAACAAUGUUUGUUCAUUCAUUCAUACAUACAUGCAAUAAGUAUUUAUUGAGCAUCUACCAAUUGCCAGACACUGUUCUAGGGAUAUAGCAGUAGUUAAAACAGACAAAGUAACUCCUAUCCUCAUGAAGCUUACGAUACGGUUUGGCUGUGUCCUCAUCCGAAUUUCAACUUGAAUUGUAGUUCCCAUAAUCUCCAUAUAUUGUGGGAGGGACCCAGUGGGAGGUGGUUGAAUCAUGAAUCAUGAGGGCAAUUCCCCUCAGGCUGUUGUGAUAGUGAGUGAGCUCUUACAAGAUCUGAUGGUUUUAUAAGGGGCUUUUCCCCUUUUGCUCAGCACUUCUCUUUCCUGCUGCCAUGUGAAGAAGGAUGUGUUCACUUCCCCUUUCGCCAUGAUUUUAUAAGUUUCCUGAGGCCUCCCCAGCCAAGCUGAACUGUCCUGAGGCAAGAAUUUGCCUUUGCCUGUAAUCAAGGGCGAGCCGGGCAGCCAAGGUUCCGAAACGCACCGUGAAGACCCUCUAACUGUGCCUACUAUUCUGCUCCCCUCCGAUCGGCGCGGGGCUCUUGUCCUUCCUCUCUCCACCCAGCGAAUGAAUGAACGCAGGAGCGCUCGGAGUACACGUCUUCAACUCGGCGACGCCCCUGCUUCGGCCCCACCCCGCAAACACCCGCCCCGGACCAGGCCCAGGGUAGGCGCCCAUGAGGACCCGUCCCUGCUCCUGACCAUCACCGUCACUGGGGUCACUGUGCUCGUGUUGGUCCUGAAGAGCAUGAACUCCAGGAGGAGAGAGCCAAUCACCUUACAGGACCCUGAAGCCAAGUACCCGCUGCCCUUGAUUGAGAAAGAGAAAAUCAGCCACAACACCCGGAGGUUCCGCUUUGGACUGCCUUCGCCGGACCAUGUCUUAGGGCUUCCUGUAGGUAACUAUGUCCAGCUCUUGGCAAAAAUCGAUAAUGAAUUGGUGGUCAGGGCUUACACCCCUGUCUCCAGUGAUGAUGACAGAGGCUUUGUGGACCUAAUUAUAAAGAUCUACUUCAAAAAUGUACACCCCCAAUAUCCUGAAGGUGGGAAGAUGACUCAGUAUUUGGAGAACAUGAAAAUCGGGGAGACCAUCUUUUUUCGAGGGCCAAGGGGACGCUUGUUUUACCAUGGGCCAGGGAAUCUUGGAAUCAGACCAGACCAGACGAGUGAGCCUAAAAAAACACUGGCCGAUCACCUGGGAAUGAUUGCUGGGGGCACAGGCAUCACACCCAUGUUGCAGCUCAUUCGCCACAUCACCAAGGACCCCAGUGACAGGACCAGGAUGUCCCUCAUCUUUGCCAACCAGACAGAGGAGGAUAUCUUGGUCAGAAAAGAGCUUGAAGAAAUUGCCAGGACUCACCCAGACCAGUUCAACCUGUGGUACACCCUGGACAGGCCUCCCAUUGGCUGGAAGUACAGCUCAGGCUUCGUUACUGCCGACAUGAUCAAGGAGCACCUUCCUCCUCCAGCGAAGUCCACGCUCAUCCUGGUGUGUGGCCCGCCACCACUAAUCCAGACGGCGGCUCACCCUAACCUGGAGAAGCUGGGUUAUACCCAGGACAUGAUUUUCACCUACUAACACCUCCACGUGCUCAGCAAUUUUGCAUGUCCCUUUUCAUCUGUUUCAGAGUAAGUUCAAUUUCACCACGGUAAACUGGGAUGUUUUCAAAAGUGCCUUGCCAUGUACCUUCGCGCACACACUGGUUCUCCUCUUUUGGGUGUGGGCCUAACAAAAAGGGCUCAAGGGGCUGGAGACUGGCUGCUGGGGCCUCCUUGCUUGGAGGCUGGAAAGAGCUCCAUUUCAGUAUCUUUCUCCGUGGUUUUGUGAAAUAAACUCAAGUACAAAGCAGACAGCCCAUGAAGUGUGGCUCUGUGGGGGACGUGCUAGGCAGUCAGGAGGCCGUGGCCUGGCCUGUGAGUUGGCUUCUGCAUGCCCAUGGGGGUCACAACUGGCAAGUGUCGGGGCAGUUCCUAAAAAACUCCAAGUGGGGUCACAUCAACUCUCAAGAAUCUCUCCAUGGCACUAGGGGUCAUGGUAGGAGUGGUUACACACAGAAACUUCUCAACUUUCAAAGUCAGGUUCCAGAAACUGCCUUAAAUCCUUUGUAUCAUGAAACCCAAACGAGGGUCUGUCGGGGUGGGGGGGAGGGACAGCCAACCUCACCCAUCCCCCUGUUCACUGUCUCCUUGGGGAUCCUUCACUGCUUUCAAGGGAGACCCCACUCUGGCCACCCCCAUCUCUCCAGGACACACUCCAGGGCCUGGCUCCCAAGGCCCUUCUUGGUUUGCUCCUGCCGACUUUAUCAGAUUUUUCUUUCCCUGGGCCCCCAACUCCGACCCCAUUCUCUCACCUACUGGUUCUCAACUGAGGGUGAUUUUGCUGCUCAGGGAACAGAUAACAAAGUCCAAAGACAUGUUGGUUGUCAGCUACAGAAGGGGUGCAUCUACCCUCUAUUAGCAUUUAGAGGGUAGAGACCAAGGAUGCUGCUAAACAUCUUAAAACCCACAGGAGAGCCUCCAUCACAGAGUAUUUCCAUCACAGAGUAUUACGCAGCCCAAAGUGACAGCAGCACAGAGGCCAGGAAACCCUGCUCUAGCCUACCAACUUUUGGCAAUCCCUAG